This 805-nucleotide ribosomal RNA is filed under the name uncultured bacterium. RNAcentral's name for it is "bacterial SSU rRNA". It matches the Rfam family "Bacterial small subunit ribosomal RNA", at positions 102 to 924 of the family's 1533-position model. The record is from RNAcentral.
ACGGCUCAGUAACACGUGGGUAACCUGCCUCAAAGAGGGGGAUAGCCUUCCGAAAGGAAGAUUAAUACCGCAUAAUCCAUUGAUUUCGCAUGGAAUCGAUGGUAAAGAUUUAUCGCUUUGAGAUGGACCCGCGGCGCAUUAGCUAGUUGGUGAGGUAACGGCUCACCAAGGCCACGAUGCGUAGCCGACCUGAGAGGGUGAUCGGCCACAUUGGAACUGAGAUACGGUCCAGACUCCUACGGGAGGCAGCAGUGGGGAAUAUUGCACAAUGGGCGGAAGCCUGAUGCAGCAACGCCGCGUGAGUGAUGAAGGUCUUCGGAUUGUAAAGCUCUGUCUUUGGGGACGAUAAUGACGGUACCCAAGGAGGAAGCCACGGCUAACUACGUGCCAGCAGCCGCGGUAAUACGUAGGUGGCAAGCGUUGUCCGGAUUUACUGGGCGUAAAGGGUGCGUAGGUGGAUAUUUAAGUCAGAUGUGAAACCCCUGGGCUCAACUCAGGGACUGCAUUUGAAACUGGAUAUCUGGAGUGCAGGAGAGGUAAGUGGAAUUCCUAGUGUAGCGGUGAGAUGCGUAGAGAUUAGGAAGAACACCAGUGGCGAAGGCGGCUUUCUGGACUGUAACUGACACUGAGGCAUGAAAGCGUGGGGAGCAAACAGGAUUAGAUACCCUGGUAGUCCACGCUGUAAACGAUGGGUACUAGGUGUGGGAGGUAUCGACUCCUUCCGUGCCGCAGUUAACACAAUAAGUACCCCGCCUGGGGAGUACGAUCGCAAGAUUAAAACUCAAAGGAAUUGGCGGGGGAGCAC